This 1105-nucleotide long non-coding RNA is filed under the name Marmota monax (woodchuck). The record is from RNAcentral. Lineage: Eukaryota; Metazoa; Chordata; Mammalia; Rodentia; Sciuridae.
GUGAUAAAGUAAUUAUGCAAUCAGUAAUUAAUCACUUCUGGCCAACAAUGAGGGUAUUGUAUUUCUGGAAAAUAAUGCAUUCUGCUAAAAUGGCUGGAUAAUAACAAACUGAGCCUAACACAAACAUUAGGAUAAUAGAGAAGAGACAAUGAAAAUAAGUUGUACUCCUCUUUAAAAGCCAAGACAAAGUAAAUUAAUAGGCAAAAUGCAAAUUAGUUGGAUGCAAUAUCUGAAUGCACAAUAAAAUGGAACCUAGUUUACUAAAGAAGUUUCAGUUGGGUUUCUACAGGGAUGGUCUUCUUUGACCUUGUUUGCUAUUAAUUACUGAUUUUGCCAAACAAUUUAAUCACAUGAAUAUUUUGGAUAAUAAGAUACCAUAGGAUAAAUGAAAAUAAAACUAUGCAAAUUAAAUUAAAUUAAAUAUUAUUUAUAACAAAUUUUGUAGCAAAAUAAAGUACAAUUCCAUAUAUAAAACCAAUUGCCAUUUUCUACCUACUGGAAAGAGAUAAAUGCUUCAUUUAAUUCCUGCCUACCCCUUUUUAGAAACAGCCUGGAAAUAAAGAAAGUAUAUGAGAAUCCUACCUCUAACACUCAUUGACCUAUCUACAUUUCUUGUUGUACAAAUUACUAAGCACCUCAAAAUUUUAAAUGAUAUCCCUGAGUUUUCUUUUUGGAUAAGUUGUAAUCAUUUGUAGGUUUGAGCCUCAACAUGUAGGAGAAAUGGUAGACAGAUGUCAGGUAGGUUGUUAGUUAAUGGUAGGUAGGUAGAUAGAUUUAUUUUAUUCAUCUACUUCUCCCAUAAUUCCACCCAUCACAUACUUUCCUGUCUACCAUUGUUGCCUUAGUGUAAGUACUUAUAAUUGUAUUAAUUAGAAUAAGCAUGUUGUAUUUUAUGGAUAGUUUUCCUAUUUUCCACAAUUGUCUGAAUUAUUAGGAGCAAGGACAACUUCUUAAGCUUUUUUAUAUGCUGAACAUUAUGAUUUUAGUCACUUCUCAGAAGUAGUUAAGCAAUGUUACAAAGUAAUAACAAAAUUCAAAUUUUUUAGACUCUUUUCACUAAAGAGGUACUAUUUUCAAUACACUGAUCCAUUUGAUAUACAGCAUG